UUUUUCAUUGGACCAUGGUACUGUCGGCUAAGAAAAUAUACACACUGAACCAACAUACCUUUAGCUAAACCCAUUAAUAACCCCUCAAAUACUUGACCUGUGCAUCUCCAUAUGUGGUGGAUACUUGUACUAUACAUUAUAUGGUGGUAGGAGUCUUAUCCCACUAAUGACCCACUUUAUCUCUGCGCUGGAGCAGCUGGUUGCUCCUCCAUCUCAACUGAUCUGUCAAAUUUUAAGUGGAAAUUAAGUCCCCAAAAAAAAAUAUACACCGCAUUGAUGGGACUAAACUAACAAACAACAUUUUAGAUUAUACGUAUUUAUUAUAUUAUUUAAAUAUGAUUUAAGUUAAUUAAAACUUAUUUAUAAUUAGAUAAAAUAUUGUACUUAUGUAAAUUACUUAAAAGCACUAAUUAAAAAUACAUCUUACAUUAAUUAUAUCAUAAUUUUUUAUAUUAUCAUCUCGAAUUUUAUAUUUUUCAUUAUUUUUUUUGAAUUAUGCACGAUUCUCGACAUUAUAGAUCAUGUAACAGGAUACUAAAACAAAAGUGUUUUCAUUAAUUAAAUGAUGUUACGCGAUGAUAUACAUCACGGCGUUGAUAAUAAAAGAAAGAUUACAAGUUAAGAUAUACUACUACAUAAUUUCAGAUACCACCGUACGGAUAAAUUCUCCGAAAGCUCUUGUCCGGUUAAAGGGCCAGUAUUUCAGGCACGUUAUAAAAAAAAAUUGGCCUUAUGAAUAUUAUCUUUUGUUUUUAAUCUUUUUAUUUUUUUAUCAAAUAAUAAUUUUUUAAAUACUUUACAUUUAUAAUUUUUAUUUUUAAGUCAAUUUAUAUAUAUCUUUUGAAUUUUUAAAUAAUUUUUUUAUAGUUAUGUUUAUGACAUUAUAAGAAUCUUGUACAGAAAAAUUUAAAUUUUUUAAUUAAAAAUGAAUUAUGAAUUUUUAAAUAUUUGGUGUGAAAAAACUCAUUUAAUUUAUUUUUUAUUAAAAAAAAUUAAAUUUUUGUACGAAAUUUUUUAUAAUAUUUAUAAAAAGUCAUUUAAAAAAUUUAAAUUAAACAUAUGAAUUAAUUUAAAAGCAGGAAUAAAAUUAUAAAAUUUUUGAAGAAUUACGAUUUUGUAAUAAAUUAAAAAUAAAAUAUGAUAUAUUUAUAAAUUAAUUUUAAAAUUAUUUAUUUUAUUAAAAAACGUUUAACGAGUUGAAGAAAAAAAAUAUUGUGGGACUAUUAUUAUAUAAAUGAAAGUUUGAUGAUCGUCGAAAGAAGAUUUUUUUAUAUAUAUUUUUUAUUUUAAAAAAAAUUAACUAUUAUACUCUACAUUGAAAAAUAUGUUCUAUUUUUGCACUUUUAAGAUCCAAGAUUUUUAUAAAAAAAAAAAAAAUAAGAGUUUGCAUAUCGGAGAUGCGACCAUGUACUAAAUUUUAAUUUUUUUUAAUUUAACAAAACAAUAAUUAUUAAUUUAAAAAUAAAAAGUAAUAAAAAUAUUUAAAAAAAUAAAAUAAUAUUAAUAAAAUAAAACAAAAUACAUUUAAUAUAAAAUAUACAUCAAACUUAAUGCAGUUGAGGAGACAUGCCAAAACAAAUAACGUGUACCUAAUAUUUUGCGGAUAAAGUAGCAACAUAAUUUUAUUUUAUUAACAACUCUCUCUUAUUUUUUCUUUGAUCUGAUAAAUAAAUAAAAUAAAAUAUUACUAAUUAAUAAAUAAAACAUAAAAUAUUAUAAAAAAAUUAAGAUAACACUAAUAAAAUAAAAUAUAUUUAAUAAAAAAGAAUACAUCAAAUUUAGUAUAGUUGAGUAAAUAUGUUGAAACAAAUAAAAUAUUUCUGACUAAAAAAUUAUUAGAAUGUGACCUCUGAAUGUCAAAAAAAAAAUAAAAUAUUUUAAUAAAUAUUUUUAAAUAUAGAGUAUAAUAAUUAAUUUUAAAAAAAAUGAUAUAUAAAAAAAAAAAAACAAAUCAUAGAAAGAAUCUUUGAGUCCCUACCUAUCAAGCAAGAUCAACUAGAGUGCGUCAUCCAUCGAAGUUGACACUAGUAAGUGCUAAUUAACUUCGACACCUUCACAAGGCUUUGCCUUGUUCAUU
This 2077-nucleotide long non-coding RNA is filed under the name Cicer arietinum (chickpea). RNAcentral describes it as "long non-coding RNA (CARI_LNC003316)". Lineage: Eukaryota; Viridiplantae; Streptophyta; Magnoliopsida; Fabales; Fabaceae. The record is from RNAcentral.